AUUGAACGCUGGCGGCAGGCUUAACACAUGCAAGUCGAGCGGAGAUGAGGUGCUUGCACCUUAUCUUAGCGGCGGACGGGUGAGUAAUGCUUAGGAAUCUGCCUAUUAGUGGGGGACAACAUUCCGAAAGGAAUGCUAAUACCGCAUACGUCCUACGGGAGAAAGCAGGGGAUCUUCGGACCUUGCGCUAAUAGAUGAGCCUAAGUCGGAUUAGCUAGUCGGUGGGGUAAAGGCCUACCAAGGCGACGAUCUGUAGCGGGUCUGAGAGGAUGAUCCGCCACACUGGGACUGAGACACGGCCCAGACUCAUACGGGAGGCAGCAGUGGGGAAUAUUGGACAAUGGGGGAAACCCUGAUCCAGCCAUGCCGCGUGUGUGAAGAAGGCCUUAUGGUUGUAAAGCACUUUAAGCGAGGAGGAGGCUACUGAGACUAAUACUCUUGGAUAGUGGACGUUACUCGCAGAAUAAGCACCGGCUAACUCUGUGCCAGCCGCCGCCGUAA
This 501-nucleotide ribosomal RNA is filed under the name uncultured bacterium. Its description in RNAcentral is "partial 16S ribosomal RNA". It matches the Rfam family "Bacterial small subunit ribosomal RNA", at positions 30 to 523 of the family's 1533-position model. The record is from RNAcentral.